Hyla sarda is the source of this 291-nucleotide long non-coding RNA. RefSeq lists it as uncharacterized. Lineage: Eukaryota; Metazoa; Chordata; Amphibia; Anura; Hylidae. The record is from RefSeq and is a predicted model, not a curated record. The transcript is spliced from 3 exons.
AAAUCUCCCCCUAUAUGUUCAGUGAGGUCAGGAGAAUGAUAUAGAGGCUCUAUAUGAACACUGUGCAAAGAGAAGUGGCUAAAACAAAACGGAGUAAUUGAGAAAUAAGGUACCAAUUAUCCAAGGAUCAACAUUUUUUACCAACACUGGCAUCAAAAUUUGACAGCUGUCAAAACAGACUUAUUCCCGGAUGUAAAUUGCCGACUUUGGAAAUGUUAAUGAAACGUCUGGCAUAUUGAUCGUUCAGGAAGAAGAACAGUAGUCGUAUGGCAGAGCUAUCAAUAAAGAUGA